AUGGCGACGUUGAGGCCGCUGACUGUGGAGGAUGUGUUGAGGGUGAACGGCAGCCGCCGCUUUGCUGCUGCACUGGCCGCUGCCUCCCCCUUCGAUUCUCUCGCGAACACACUCCUCACCGCCCGCCGCAUCUGGCUCAACGAGGUAGACGUGACUGGAUGGCUGGAGGCCUUCGCUGCCCACCCGCCCAUUGGAACCACCUCCUCAUCCGUCUCCAAGUGGAGCAAGGAAGAGCAAUCAGCUGCGCUUUCCACAGCCACUGAUUCGACCGCGCAGGAGUUGUCCGAGUGGAAUGCCAAAUACAGGGAGAAGUUUGGGUUUGUGUUCAUGAUAUGCGCGUCUGGGAGGACUGCCCCUGAGGUCUUAGCUGAGCUUAAGAGGCGUUAUGCAAAUAGGCCAAUUGUUGAGCUUGAGGCUGCGGCAGAGGAAGAACUGAAGAUAACUGAGCUGCGUCUUGCAAAGCUUUUCUCAGCAGAAACUGCUGCUCCCCCUACUUCAGGUGAAAAUCAUAUUAGCCAACCGGAUAAAGCAGCAGAUCGGAUGCGGAUUAUUGGUGCACACCUUGGAGCUCUUUCCCAGCAUUCUGCCAAUAAAGCUCCUGAAAUUACAGGUAGCUCCAACCGGACACGCCCUCCUAUCACAACCCAUGUGCUGGACACGGCUCUUGGAUCGCCAGCAGCUGGAAUUGAAGUUCACCUGGAGAUGUGGAAGGACGCGUCAAGUCCCCCGUCAUUUGACAACAAAGAAUUCAAGGGAUGGACAACCCUAGGCACUUCGAUAACAAACAAUGAUGGACGCAGCGGUCAGCUGAUGGACAUCGUUGACAAUGUCGCCCCUGGUUUCUACCGCAUAAGUUUCAAUACCUCCAAGUAUGCACCGUCAGGGUUCUUCCCUUACAUGAGCAUCAUAUUUGAGAUAAAAAGAAGCCAGACGACCGAGCAUUUCCAUGUUCCUCUUUUGCAUUCUCCCUUUUCCUUUACCACUUACCGUGGCAGCUAA
RNAcentral lists this ribosomal RNA (999 nucleotides) under Triticum aestivum (bread wheat). RNAcentral describes it as "partial small subunit ribosomal RNA". Lineage: Eukaryota; Viridiplantae; Streptophyta; Magnoliopsida; Poales; Poaceae. The record is from RNAcentral.